RNAcentral lists this transfer RNA (63 nucleotides) under Drabescus ineffectus. RNAcentral's name for it is "tRNA-His". Lineage: Eukaryota; Metazoa; Arthropoda; Insecta; Hemiptera; Cicadellidae. The record is from RNAcentral.
AUUUAAGUAGUUUAUAUAAGAUGUAGUAUUGUGGUUACUAGGAAGUAAUUUUUGCCUUAAAUU